This 263-nucleotide ribosomal RNA is filed under the name uncultured archaeon. RNAcentral describes it as "partial 16S ribosomal RNA". It matches the Rfam family "Archaeal small subunit ribosomal RNA", at positions 748 to 1009 of the family's 1478-position model. The record is from RNAcentral.
AGGGUGUAAACGCUGCGGGCUUGGUGUUGGGGGUCCUUUGAGGGCGCCCAGUGCCGGAGAGAAGUUGUUAAGCCUGCUGCUUGGGGAGUACGUCCGCAAGGAUGAAACUUAAAGGAAUUGGCGGGGGAGGCACCGCAACGGGAGGAGCGUGCGGUUCAAUUGGAUUCAACGCCGGACAACUCACCAGGAGCGACGGUUACAUGAAGGCCAGGCUGAUGACCUUGCCUGAUUUUCCGAGAGGAGGUGCAUGGCGUGUGACGUCU